UACAGAGGGUGCGAGCGUUGUCCGGAAUCACUGGGCGUAAAGGGCGCGUAGGUGGUGGCUUAAGCGUGCGGUGAAAGCUCGGGGCUCAACCCCGAGUCGGCCGUGCGAACUGGGCUCACUGGAGCAUAGUAGAGGCAGGUGGAAUUCCGGGUGUAGCGGUGGAAUGCGUAGAGAUCCGGAAGGACACCGGUGGCGAAGGCGGCCUGCUGGGCUAUGGCUGACACUGAGGCGCGACAGCGUGGGGAGCAAACAGG
RNAcentral lists this ribosomal RNA (254 nucleotides) under uncultured bacterium. Its description in RNAcentral is "partial 16S ribosomal RNA". It matches the Rfam family "Bacterial small subunit ribosomal RNA", at positions 524 to 776 of the family's 1533-position model. The record is from RNAcentral.